CUAUUGGAGGUGGGGAAGAAGCAUCUUUCUGAUGGAAAGAGUACCAUGCCAAUCCAAUCAAGUGUUGGGCUCUUAUUUUCGACAUGGUUGAUUAUGGUCUUCCUCUUACCUGGUGCACCAAUCUGUUGUGGCUAACUCUCUGUCGUCUGUAAAUCUAUUGCGGCCAACUCUCUGUCAUCUGUUGUCGGUGAUGAACACCUGCAAAACAACAUCCUCACAGACCAGAGUUAUAUCCAGCGGGGAUCCUCCGAUGCUUAAAUCGAAAAAAAAAUUGAUGAACAGUAGAUUUGAAUGUCGAGAGUAGCAGAGCUCUGGUUCAAAAGUGUCUUACAUGUACUGUUU
Molecule: long non-coding RNA, 342 nt
Filed under: Elaeis guineensis (African oil palm)
Lineage: Eukaryota; Viridiplantae; Streptophyta; Magnoliopsida; Arecales; Arecaceae
Description: long non-coding RNA (EGUI_LNC003491)
Source: RNAcentral